UACGUAGGGGGCAAGCGUUGUCCGGAAUCAUUGGGCGUAAAGCGCGUGUAGGCGGCUUGGUAAGUCUGCUCUGAAAGCCCGGGGCUCAACCCCGGGAGGCGGGUGGAUACUGUCAAGCUCGAGUCCGGAAGAGGAGUGUGGAAUUCCUGGUGUAGCGGUGAAAUGCGCAGAUAACAGGAGGAACACCAAUGGCGAAGGCAGCACUCUGGGACGUGACCGACGCUGAGACGCGAAAGCGUGGGGAGCAAACAGG
This 253-nucleotide ribosomal RNA is filed under the name uncultured bacterium. RNAcentral describes it as "partial 16S ribosomal RNA". It matches the Rfam family "Bacterial small subunit ribosomal RNA", at positions 524 to 776 of the family's 1533-position model. The record is from RNAcentral.